Molecule: long non-coding RNA, 207 nt
Filed under: Anas platyrhynchos (mallard)
Lineage: Eukaryota; Metazoa; Chordata; Aves; Anseriformes; Anatidae
Description: lncRNA (ENSAPLG00020014171.1)
Source: RNAcentral
GGCGCCCGCCACUAGGCCCGGGCCUACCGUCAGCCCGGGCCCGGGACGCUCGGGCUCGGCGGCCGCCGCCCGGCGGGAGGCCAUGGGCACGGCGGUCCCUUCCUUCCUGGAAACUCAGCGAAGAGUUAGCGUUCCCAGGCUGUUGGAGCUCUUCCACGUUAAGGGAUGAUAUUUGCUAUGUGCCCUGUAAGUCCUGCCCUGGGACUC